RNAcentral lists this transfer RNA (87 nucleotides) under Actinomycetota bacterium. RNAcentral describes it as "Actinobacteria bacterium tRNA-Ser". It matches the Rfam family "tRNA". Rfam says of the family: Transfer RNA (tRNA) molecules are approximately 80 nucleotides in length. Their secondary structure includes four short double-helical elements and three loops (D, anti-codon, and T loops). Lineage: Bacteria; Bacillati; Actinomycetota. The record is from RNAcentral.
GGAGAGGUGCCAGAGUCCGGCCGAUCGGGCCUCCCUGCUAAGGAGGUGACGGGUAACCGUCCGUGGGUUCGAAUCCCACCCUCUCCG